RNAcentral lists this ribosomal RNA (465 nucleotides) under uncultured bacterium. Its description in RNAcentral is "partial 16S ribosomal RNA". It matches the Rfam family "Bacterial small subunit ribosomal RNA", at positions 28 to 507 of the family's 1533-position model. The record is from RNAcentral.
GACGAACGCUGGCGGCGUGCUUAACACAUGCAAGUCGAACGGAAAGGCCCUGCUUGCAGGGUACUCGAGUGGCGAACGGGUGAGUAACACGUGGGUGAUCUGCCCUGCACUUCGGGAUAAGCCUGGGAAACUGGGUCUAAUACCGGAUAGGAGCCAUUUUUAGUGUGAUGGUUGGAAAGUUUUUUCGGUGUAGGAUGAGCUCGCGGCCUAUCAGCUUGUUGGUGGGGUAAUGGCCUACCAAGGCGGCGACGGGUAGCCGGCCUGAGAGGGUGGACGGCCACAUUGGGACUGAGAUACGGCCCAGACUCCUACGGGAGGCAGCAGUGGGGAAUAUUGCACAAGGGGCGCAAGCCUUAUGCAGCGACGCCGCGUGGGGGAUGACGGCCUUAGGGUUGUAAACUCCUUUCGCUAGGGACGAAGCUUUUUGUGACGGUACCUAGAGAAGAAGCACCGGCUAACUACGUG